This is a long non-coding RNA of Symphalangus syndactylus (siamang), 455 nucleotides long. RefSeq lists it as uncharacterized. The record is from RefSeq and is a predicted model, not a curated record. Lineage: Eukaryota; Metazoa; Chordata; Mammalia; Primates; Hylobatidae.
AGCCUUUUCUAACCCCCCAGACUGUGAGAUGGCCUCUCUGUGCUCCCGAGGUGCCUUGAACACACUCCUCUACAGUUCUUACCACCUGCUGAAAUUGUCUGCUUUUUUCACAGUGGUUGGCACCACGGUCUUUGGAGAAAGAUUGUCUGCAUGUCAGGACAAAGCAAAGAAGAAUUCAGCAACUGCUGCUUAAAAACUCAUUCACUACUUUAGAAAUCAAGACAAAGUGAAAGACAUGGAUGGAAUGAAUUCAGCCCUUCCUCCUAUUGUUUCUCUAGCAAGCAGGUGACCAAAGCUAUAAAUGUUUGUUUCCUGAAAACUAAAGUCCUGACUUGUCAUCUUCAUAGUGAAAAGAGCCUCAAAGAUGGGGUAAGAAGGUAUAUACUUCACUUUUAAGCACUCAUCCUAAGAAGAUUUAGGAAACCAAGCAAAUCCAUGGCAAAUUGAAGGCAGAU